AUGUUCAGGCCAUGCAUAAUGACAUUGGAAAAAAUAGUCCAGAGCGGCUACAGAAAAGGAUUCAGGAGCUCCUGGCAAGGUACCAGGCAUCCGUGGGCAUGCUUGCCCUGCACAACGAGUGCACUGUGUGUUGCCACUUCUCUGCACCCUGUAGCCCUGUGCCCCCUGCUUGAGAAGUAGGGUUUUGCCAUCCCUACUGAGUACAGGGCACUGAGAAGUGAUUGCUAGAGGGAGGAAACAGAGUUGCCAACCACUGCUGCAGUUUUAUUGCUUUCCUUGUCAUUUCCCUACUGUUAUUUUCCAAUAUCUCUCCAGCUUAAAGUCACAAAUAGUUUUUAUUUAAUACAACAAAAUUG
This 356-nucleotide long non-coding RNA is filed under the name Mustela putorius furo (domestic ferret). RNAcentral's name for it is "lncRNA (ENSMPUG00000029794.1)". The record is from RNAcentral. Lineage: Eukaryota; Metazoa; Chordata; Mammalia; Carnivora; Mustelidae.